ACUGGUUCGAAAUCCUUCAUUAGCAUAAACGCCCUAUAAGUAGGAGAAGUCCGUUUCCAAUUCACAGUGAGCUUCCGGUGUUUGGAGAUCAGAACAUGCCUGAGCCUGCGAAAUCUGCUCCCGCCCCGAAGAAGGGCUCCAAGAAGGCAGUCACCAAGGCGCAGAAGAAGGAUGGCAAGAAGCGCAAGCGCAGCCGCAAGGAGAGCUACUCUGUGUACGUGUACAAGGUGCUGAAGCAAGUGCACCCGGACACAGGCAUCUCUUCCAAGGCCAUGGGCAUCAUGAACUCGUUCGUGAACGACAUCUUCGAGCGCAUCGCGGGCGAGGCGUCGCGCUUGGCGCAUUACAACAAGCGCUCGACCAUCACGUCCCGGGAGAUCCAGACAGCCGUGCGCCUGCUACUGCCCGGUGAAUUGGCCAAGCACGCCGUUUCCGAGGGCACCAAGGCGGUCACCAAGUACACCAGCUCCAAGUAAUCGUGCCAAGUAAGCUUCGGUUUGGAAUUCCAAAGGCUCUUUUAAGAGCCACCCACUUUUCUCAAAGAGAGCGCUGUGGCCGACUGUUCAGUUUCAUCCGAAAGCAGCUAAGGGGCGCUUAUAAGCCUUUAUAGUUCAGACUGUGGAUGCAAUGGGAGUUCAUCGGUCUUAGUUUAGUAUUUUGUUUAACAAAUGUUUUAUAGGGGAAAAUUCAGUCAUCCCAGUAGACGUCACUUCCGGCGAGGCUGAGUCCAGAACUAAGUUGUAGAACAGGGGUGAAUGGAGACGGUAAUUGUUCCCAUUAGAGGGAGUUUGUCUUUAAACAAUAAUUCCCGAUUUUGAUUUGUGACGAAGUGCUUCCAAAUAGGCUUGCAUUUUAAAACUAGUAAAUAGGAGGGGCCUGUCACAAAAAAAAAAAAAAAACUUCAUAUUUUUCGACUUAACAGCUUACGGAGCUAUUACGUGGGAUAAGACCUGAGAUCUUAGGUUAGUUUUUGAGAAUGUGAUCUGGCAUUAUCAAAAACCUGCAAUGAGGUUCUGGUGGGAAAGGAAACUGAAUUGUUCAAAUGCAAAUGUAACAAUUUGUCGCUAGAGUACUUUGGCCAAGCUAUAUUAAUUUUUAUAGUUCCAAGGACGUGAAGGCUUAGAGAAGUGAGAGGAAGAGCUGAAGCAAGGAGUGAACUGGAAGGACUUAAUUUAAGAAAACCCAAAACGAAUGCUUGCUGUGGAUGUUGACUUAAUUCAAAGUUAGAAAAGAAUUUCAGUUCUUAGUGGAGUGUAUUCUUCUGUUUGUCCAGACGAAAGGCUAAUAUUUCCAUAGCCCUAACUGUCACUGAACAAAUUUGGCCAUAAAUGCUGGCUGUACCCAAGCUCAUUUCACUUCCUCUGGACCCAUUUCUUUUAAAAGCUCUUGUCUUGCCUGUUCGAAGAAACAGUACUGUAGCUUCCUCUCUUCUCUGAUAGAAGUUAACACCAUAUUAUCGUCUACAAUCCUUUCUUUCUAGAAGCUGUGCCUAGACUAUUUAGUACUACAUUAUGUCCUGACAAUGUGGAGAACCUUUCAGCCUUCUGGCGCCUUAUGUCUUCUUCGCGCUGCAGCUUUGUUCUUGCAAACCUUCCUUUUUCUGGUUCGCUUUUGGUUGAUUUAUUGCCAAAACCCCACCAGUCAGGCUCAGAAGUGUAUAAAGGGUUUCCAGAUUGAUACCUUUUCAUUUGACAACAAUUCAGUGUCGACUUUCACUUUUGCCUUUGGUGAGAUUCCUGUUUCUUUGUGUGGCCUGUCCAUUUUUAUCUCCUUCCAAUUCUCUCUGUCUGUCUGUCUUUUGCCACCCCACCCCCCCCCCCCCCCGUGUGUGUGUGUGUGUGUGUGUGUGUGUGUGUGUGUGUGUGUUUGCCUGUGAGAGGUGUGUGUGUGUGUUUGCCUGUGAGUGAGAGAAAUGUGUGGUGUUUAUGAGUUCACAUGGUUGUCUGUUCAGAAUUAUCAUGACUGUAUGAGAGAGAAUAUAAGUAUAGAAUAGUUGCCACCAGUAAGUGGAUUUUAAUGAAGCAUAGACUCAAGACAGUUCCAGACAAGAAGAAAUCAGUGACAUGGUACCUUUUCUCAACAUUUCUAAAAUUUGUGAUUUGGUCAUUCCAUGCCUGUUUCAUAUGCAGACAGGGUUAUUGGCUAUGUUCUUUUUAUUGUGAUGUUCCAGAGGGGAGUGAGAAACAGCAUGAACUUGCCUGCUGAGGCAGAAAGUUUGCUUCUAGGAUAUAUAAAACAGUAUUACUUAAAUUUUAAUGAGUUUAUUAUAAGGGAUAUGGCAGUAGAAUACCAAACUUGAAACUGAACAAGAGAGGAUCACUCCUGUUGGGAAUAGUUCUCUCCUGAUAGGACCUCUGAUUUAAAAUCAAAACUUUUGUCUCAGUAGUCAUAAUACUUCAAUAGUUAUCCAUGUCUGUGUUCAUUGACCUUCAGUCUUUUCUAUUGUUCUAGUUGACUCCUCUAACUUUGAUAACUGCUGUGACUAUUUCCUAUUUUAUGAAUAUAAGUAAAUUUGAGCACAUUGACUAUCCCAGCAGGAAAUGAAUAAAUUAUAAUGUGAUUUAAGUAUAAAUAGAUUUUUAUAUAGGAUUUAAAAAGUAUGUCGACUUUAAUUAAUUGAAAACCAUUAAUUAGUAUAAAUUAAUACACAUUCUUAGGCCUUAAAUUGAAGUGUGGCCUCUAAGGUUGCAAUCAAACUCACAUAGUUCUAGUCAUAAUUGCAUUUGUAUAUUUUUUGUUUACUUAAUAGUUAGACUUUUGGUUUGUGUUAAGAUGGAUCUUUUUUUUAUUUUUUUCUUUAUUAACUUGAGUAUUUCUUAUUUACAUUUCGAUUGUUAAUUCGUUUUCCCAGUUUCCAGGCCAACAUUCCCCUAACCCCUCCCCCUCCCUUUCUCUAUAGGUGUUCCCCUCCCCAUCCUCCCCCCAUUACCACCCUCUUCCCAACAAUCUCGAUCACUGGGGGUUCAGUCUUGGCAGGACCAAGGGCUUCCCCUUCCACUGGUGCUCUUACUAGGCUAUUCAUUGCUACCUAUGAGGUUGGAGCCCAGGGUCAGUCCAUGUAUAUUCUUUGGGUAGUGACUUAGUCCCUGGAAGCUCUGGUUGCUUGGCAUUGUUGUUCAUAUGGGGUCUCGAGCCCCUUCAAGCUCUUCCAGUCCUUUCUCUGAUUUCUUCAACAGGGGUCCCAUUCUCAGUUCAGUGGUUUAAUGAUGGCAUUUGCCUAUGUAUUUGCUGUAUUCUGGCUGUGUCUCUCAGGAGAGAUCUACAUCCGGUUCCUGUCGGCCUGCACUUCUUUGCUUCAUCCAUCUUGUCUAAUUGGGUGGCUGUAUAUGUAUGGGCAACAUGUGGGGCAGGCUCUGAAUGGGUGUUCCUUUUGCCUCUGUUCUAAACUUUGCCUCCUUAUUCCCUGCCAAGGGUAUUCUUGCUCCCCUUUUAAAGAAGGAGUGAAGCAUUCACAUUUUGGUCAUCCUUCUUGAGUUUCAUGUGUUCUGUGCAUCUAGGGUAAUUCAAGCAUUUGGGCUAAUAGACACUUUAAGAUGGAUCUUUUAUUAUAAACGAUUACAGUUUACAGAAGCUAGGAUUUAUUGUACAAAAAAAGACUACCUUAAGUUUACCAACAUUUCCUACUAGAUUUAUUUCGUUGAAUAAAAAUCACUUUUUAAUAUAAAUAAAUAGUAUAUAUUGAGCUAAAUCAAAUCAGAAGGUAAUUUUUUAAAUGGAAUAAAAACUUAAAUAACAAGUAGUAAGGACUCACCAUGUCAGCUUAAAAACUGAAUUCACUGGCAAAUAAUUACUUUAGAACUUAGAUGACUUUUCCUUUUUUUUUUUUUUUUUCUUUUUUUCGGAGCUGGGGACCAAACCCAGGGCCUUGCGCUUGCUAGGCAAGUGCUCUACCGCUGAGCUAAAUCCCCAACCCUUAGAUGACUUUUAAAUGGAAUGAAUUAGUGUCUUCUCACUUGGAGGUUACCAAACACAAGACAUUGAAAUGUUUGCUCUGUUUAAGUCUCCUACUGUUACACAGGUUAUAAUGAGUAGUGCUUACUUAGCACAUUAGAAAGCACUGUUCUUUUGAUUUAAAAUGGUGAGACCAUCUUUGCUUUUGCCACUUUAGAUUUGUAGGAGUGAAAGAUAGUGGAGAUAGACCAUGGGUUUAGAGGGCCAGGCAGGCUUGGGACUGGGGCUUGUUAGUGUUUAUCCACAGAAACACAAUUGCUGGCUUUGUUUAAGGGUUGUCUUUAAUUGCUACCAAGUUUCCUAGCUACAGAGGAAAACAAAUAAGCAUACUAGAUAAUGAUCAUGUUUACUCGAAGAGUUGGCACUGUUAAGUAAUAUAGUAAUUCACUUUAGUACAUAAGACUCACAGGUGUAACAGACUGUCUCUUUCAUUUUUAUGUAGCUGGGAUUUGUUCUCAUAUCUUAAUGUAAUGAUCAGCUCAUUGUAAUUAAUAAUAAAAAAUAAAGUUUGUAAUAAUAAAUUUGACAGAAUGAGUCUUACAUCAAAAACCUA
Rattus norvegicus (Norway rat) is the source of this 4504-nucleotide RNA transcript. It is a transcript of the gene named histone cluster 1 H2B family member Q, with no coding region annotated. Lineage: Eukaryota; Metazoa; Chordata; Mammalia; Rodentia; Muridae. The record is from RefSeq and is marked provisional.